RNAcentral lists this ribosomal RNA (497 nucleotides) under uncultured bacterium. Its description in RNAcentral is "partial 16S ribosomal RNA". It matches the Rfam family "Bacterial small subunit ribosomal RNA", at positions 28 to 507 of the family's 1533-position model. The record is from RNAcentral.
GAUGAACGCUGGCGGCGUGCCUAAUACAUGCAAGUCGAGCGAACAGACGAGGAGCUUGCUCCUCUGACGUUAGCGGCGGACGGGUGAGUAACACGUGGAUAACCUACCUAUAAGACUGGGAUAACUUCGGGAAACCGGAGCUAAUACCGGAUAAUAUAUUGAACCGCAUGGUUCAAUAGUGAAAGACGGUUUUGCUGUCACUUAUAGAUGGAUCCGCGCCGCAUUAGCUAGUUGGUAAGGUAACGGCUUACCAAGGCAACGAUGCGUAGCCGACCUGAGAGGGUGAUCGGCCACACUGGAACUGAGACACGGUCCAGAUUCCUACGGGAGGCAGCAGUAGGGAAUCUCCCGCAAUGGGCGAAAGCCUGACGGAGCAACGCCGCGUGAGUGAUGAAGGUCUUCGGAUCGUAAAACUCUGUUAUUAGGGAAGAACAAAUGUGUAAGUAACUAUGCACGUCUUGACGGUACCUAAUCAGAAAGCCACGGCUAACUACGUG